UGAGGAAUUAUGCACAAUGGAGGAAACUCUGAUGCUGCAACGCCGCGUGUGGGAUGAAGGGGCUAUGCCCUGUAAACCACUGUCAGCAAGGAAAAAAAGUCUGCACGGCGGACUGGGAUUGUACUUGCAGAGGAAGGGUCGGCUAACUACGUGCCAGCAGCCGCGGUAAUACGUAGGACCCAAGCGUUGUCCGGAAUUACUGGGUGUAAAGGGUGCGCAGGCGGGCUUGUGCGUCGAGGGUUAAAGACCUCAGCUUAACUGAGGGAGUGCCCUCGAUACGGCAAGUCUUGAGUGUGAGAGAGGAAAGUGGAAUUCUUGGUGUAGCAGUGAAAUGCGUAGAUAUCAAGAGGAACACCGGUGGCGAAGGCGGCUUUCUGGCUCACAACUGACGCUCAGGCAC
Molecule: ribosomal RNA, 400 nt
Filed under: uncultured bacterium
Lineage: Bacteria
Description: bacterial SSU rRNA
Rfam family: Bacterial small subunit ribosomal RNA
Source: RNAcentral